Long non-coding RNA from Mobula hypostoma (lesser devil ray), 150 nucleotides. RefSeq lists it as uncharacterized. The record is from RefSeq and is a predicted model, not a curated record. NCBI's taxonomy places the organism in Eukaryota, Metazoa, Chordata, Chondrichthyes, Myliobatiformes, Myliobatidae. The transcript has 3 exons.
AGAAGAUGCUGGACAAAAGCAGUCGUAGGAUUUGACCCGGUGAAGGACCGUGAUUCAAUGGAGUAUGUCAAUGGCAUCUGUCGUUGAGCAGUUCUUCAGUAAGCAUAUUGAAGAUGGGGAGAGAAGAUGCCAGAAGGGAGAAGUCAUAGA